Non-coding RNA from Physcomitrium patens, 798 nucleotides. The record is from RefSeq and is a predicted model, not a curated record. Lineage: Eukaryota; Viridiplantae; Streptophyta; Bryopsida; Funariales; Funariaceae.
GGACCGAAGAUGCCAACUCCUUCGUUGUUUGCCCUAAUUUGCGAGUGAGGACCUGGUUUGCCUCGAUGUUGAGGGCUCCACUUGUUGAAUGAGGGGUUUGACGUAGCCGGAGAUGGCUUUGUUUUUGUUUUGCGAGGUCCAGGCGUAUGGAUAGCCGGGUCGCUUUGGGUUGAGGAAACGGCUUUUCGUUUAAUUUGGAAUGAGACGUGACAUUAGGGCAGGGAUUGAGUGAUGGAGCUCCAGGGUGAGAGUGGAUGGCACCGUGGAUUUCUGCAGCAGUGUGGCCGGCACCCUCAUAUUGCCUUGCAGUGGCAAAUGCACCCGGAGAUGCUACAUUUUGAUCAGCCACAGCAGAUGCAUUCGUCGCCGCCGCCGCAGCAGCAGCAGCAAUAUCAUCUAUCGUAAUAACAGGCUCAUCAGUCGGAGGAUCGUUGGUAAGGACAGCCUAUUGAGUAAUAUGCGUCUCAACAGCAGCAAGUGAUGCAGACUCUAGCUCCGCAAUCCUCCUUGUCUCCGUCACCCUUACAGCAGCAUUGCAUGAUGUUAAAGGCAAACUGAGAAGUUUCGAAACGUUUCGGACGAGUGUAUUCGUAAAAAACGUUAGGAGUGUGGAUGACAGUUCAUGCCCCGAAAACGGAUGUCACCGUAUGGAUUUAGUGUUACAUACCGGAACUUGACUUCAGGGCUCAGCCAAUAGGAGGAUUGGGUAGCCAAAGCUAGAGCAUGGACUGCUGCUAAUUCAGCGCAACCGUCUCAUCAGCAACCUUUUUCUGAUAGUUUUACAGCCCCCCCCCCCCC